GAAUCCCGUGAACCAUCGAGUCUUUGAACGCAAGUUGCGCCCGAAGCCAUCCGGCCGAGGGCACGUCUGCCUGGGCGUCACACACCGUUGCCCCCC
This 96-nucleotide ribosomal RNA is filed under the name Zelkova sinica. RNAcentral's name for it is "partial 5.8S ribosomal RNA". The stretch from base 1 to 80 matches the Rfam family "5.8S ribosomal RNA", at positions 77 to 154 of the family's 154-position model. Rfam says of the family: 5.8S ribosomal RNA (5.8S rRNA) is a component of the large subunit of the eukaryotic ribosome. Lineage: Eukaryota; Viridiplantae; Streptophyta; Magnoliopsida; Rosales; Ulmaceae. The record is from RNAcentral.